CUUUUUGCCUCCCUCACAAAGGCGGCGGAAGGUGAUCGAAUUCCGGUGAUGCGAGUUGUUCUCCGUCUAUAAAUACGCCUCGCCCGAGCUGUGCGGUAGGCAUUGAGGCAGCCAGCGCAGGGGCUUCUGCUGAGGGGGCAGGCGGAGCUUGAGGAAACCGCAGAUAAGUUUUUUUCUCUUUGAAAGAUAGAGAUUAAUACAACUACUUAAAAAAUAUAGUCAAUAGGUUACUAAGAUAUUGCUUAGCGUUAAGUUUUUAACGUAAUUUUAAUAGCUUAAGAUUUUAAGAGAAAAUAUGAAGACUUAGAAGAGUAGCAUGAGGAAGGAAAAGAUAAAAGGUUUCUAAAACAUGACGGAGGUUGAGAUGAAGCUUCUUCAUGGAGUAAAAAAUGUAUUUAAAAGAAAAUUGAGAGAAAGGACUACAGAGCCCCGAAUUAAUACCAAUAGAAGGGCAAUGCUUUUAGAUUAAAAUGAAGGUGACUUAAACAGCUUAAAGUUUAGUUUAAAAGUUGUAGGUGAUUAAAAUAAUUUGAAGGCGAUCUUUUAAAAAGAGAUUAAACCGAAGGUGAUUAAAAGACCUUGAAAUCCAUGACGCAGGGAGAAUUGCGUCAUUUAAAGCCUAGUUAACGCAUUUACUAAACGCAGACGAAAAUGGAAAGAUUAAUUGGGAGUGGUAGGAUGAAACAAUUUGGAGAAGAUAGAAGUUUGAAGUGGAAAACUGGAAGACAGAAGUACGGGAAGGCGAAGAAAAGAAUAGAGAAGAUAGGGAAAUUAGAAGAUAAAAACAUACUUUUAGAAGAAAAAAGAUAAAUUUAAACCUGAAAAGUAGGAAGCAGAAGAAAAAAGACAAGCUAGGAAACAAAAAGCUAAGGGCAAAAUGUACAAACUUAGAAGAAAAUUGGAAGAUAGAAACAAGAUAGAAAAUGAAAAUAUUGUCAAGAGUUUCAGAUAGAAAAUGAAAAACAAGCUAAGACAAGUAUUGGAGAAGUAUAGAAGAUAGAAAAAUAUAAAGCCAAAAAUUGGAUAAAAUAGCACUGAAAAAAUGAGGAAAUUAUUGGUAACCAAUUUAUUUUAAAAGCCCAUCAAUUUAAUUUCUGGUGGUGCAGAAGUUAGAAGGUAAAGCUUGAGAAGAUGAGGGUGUUUACGUAGACCAGAACCAAUUUAGAAGAAUACUUGAAGCUAGAAGGGGAAGUUGGUUAAAAAUCACAUCAAAAAGCUACUAAAAGGACUGGUGUAAUUUAAAAAAAACUAAGGCAGAAGGCUUUUGGAAGAGUUAGAAGAAUUUGGAAGGCCUUAAAUAUAGUAGCUUAGUUUGAAAAAUGUGAAGGACUUUCGUAACGGAAGUAAUUCAAGAUCAAGAGUAAUUACCAACUUAAUGUUUUUGCAUUGGACUUUGAGUUAAGAUUAUUUUUUAAAUCCUGAGGACUAGCAUUAAUUGACAGCUGACCCAGGUGCUACACAGAAGUGGAUUCAGUGAAUCUAGGAAGACAGCAGCAGACAGGAUUCCAGGAACCAGUGUUUGAUGAAGCUAGGACUGAGGAGCAAGCGAGCAAGCAGCAGUUCGUGGUGAAGAUAGGAAAAGAGUCCAGGAGCCAGUGCGAUUUGGUGAAGGAAGCUAGGAAGAAGGAAGGAGCGCUAACGAUUUGGUGGUGAAGCUAGGAAAAAGGAUUCCAGGAAGGAGCGAGUGCAAUUUGGUGAUGAAGGUAGCAGGCGGCUUGGCUUGGCAACCACACGGAGGAGGCGAGCAGGCGUUGUGCGUAGAGGAUCCUAGACCAGCAUGCCAGUGUGCCAAGGCCACAGGGAAAGCGAGUGGUUGGUAAAAAUCCGUGAGGUCGGCAAUAUGUUGUUUUUCUGGAACUUACUUAUGGUAACCUUUUAUUUAUUUUCUAAUAUAAUGGGGGAGUUUCGUACUGAGGUGUAAAGGGAUUUAUAUGGGGACGUAGGCCGAUUUCCGGGUGUUGUAGGUUUCUCUUUUUCAGGCUUAUACUCAUGAAUCUUGUCUGAAGCUUUUGAGGGCAGACUGCCAAGUCCUGGAGAAAUAGUAGAUGGCAAGUUUGUGGGUUUUUUUUUUUUACACGAAUUUGAGGAAAACCAAAUGAAUUUGAUAGCCAAAUUGAGACAAUUUCAGCAAAUCUGUAAGCAGUUUGUAUGUUUAGUUGGGGUAAUGAAGUAUUUCAGUUUUGUGAAUAGAUGACCUGUUUUUACUUCCUCACCCUGAAUUCGUUUUGUAAAUGUAGAGUUUGGAUGUGUAACUGAGGCGGGGGGGAGUUUUCAGUAUUUUUUUUUGUGGGGGUGGGGGCAAAAUAUGUUUUCAGUUCUUUUUCCCUUAGGUCUGUCUAGAAUCCUAAAGGCAAAUGACUCAAGGUGUAACAGAAAACAAGAAAAUCCAAUAUCAGGAUAAUCAGACCACCACAGGUUUACAGUUUAUAGAAACUAGAGCAGUUCUCACGUUGAGGUCUGUGGAAGAGAUGUCCAUUGGAGAAAUGGCUGGUAGUUACUCUUUUUUCCCCCCACCCCCUUAAUCAGACUUUAAAAGUGCUUAACCCCUUAAACUUGUUAUUUUUUACUUGAAGCAUUUUGGGAUGGUCUUAACAGGGAAGAGAGAGGGUGGGGGAGAAAAUGUUUUUUUCUAAGAUUUUCCACAGAUGCUAUAGUACUAUUGACAAACUGGGUUAGAGAAGGAGUGUACCGCUGUGCUGUUGGCACGAACACCUUCAGGGACUGGAGCUGCUUUUAUCCUUGGAAGAGUAUUCCCAGUUGAAGCUGAAAAGUACAGCACAGUGCAGCUUUGGUUCAUAUUCAGUCAUCUCAGGAGAACUUCAGAAGAGCUUGAGUAGGCCAAAUGUUGAAGUUAAGUUUUCCAAUAAUGUGACUUCUUAAAAGUUUUAUUAAAGGGGAGGGGCAAAUAUUGGCAAUUAGUUGGCAGUGGCCUGUUACGGUUGGGAUUGGUGGGGUGGGUUUAGGUAAUUGUUUAGUUUAUGAUUGCAGAUAAACUCAUGCCAGAGAACUUAAAGUCUUAGAAUGGAAAAAGUAAAGAAAUAUCAACUUCCAAGUUGGCAAGUAACUCCCAAUGAUUUAGUUUUUUUCCCCCCAGUUUGAAUUGGGAAGCUGGGGGAAGUUAAAUAUGAGCCACUGGGUGUACCAGUGCAUUAAUUUGGGCAAGGAAAGUGUCAUAAUUUGAUACUGUAUCUGUUUUCCUUCAAAGUAUAGAGCUUUUGGGGAAGGAAAGUAUUGAACUGGGGGUUGGUCUGGCCUACUGGGCUGACAUUAACUACAAUUAUGGGAAAUGCAAAAGUUGUUUGGAUAUGGUAGUGUGUGGUUCUCUUUUGGAAUUUUUUUCAGGUGAUUUAAUAAUAAUUUAAAACUACUAUAGAAACUGCAGAGCAAAGGAAGUGGCUUAAUGAUCCUGAAGGGAUUUCUUCUGAUGGUAGCUUUUGUAUUAUCAAACUUUUUUCAGAUAACAUCUUCUGAGUCAUAACCAGCCUGGCAGUAUGAUGGCCUAGAUGCAGAGAAAACAGCUCCUUGGUGAAUUGAUAAGUAAAGGCAGAAAAGAUUAUAUGUCAUACCUCCAUUGGGGAAUAAGCAUAACCCUGAGAUUCUUACUACUGAUGAGAACAUUAUCUGCAUAUGCCAAAAAAUUUUAAGCAAAUGAAAGCUACCAAUUUAAAGUUACGGAAUCUACCAUUUUAAAGUUAAUUGCUUGUCAAGCUAUAACCACAAAAAUAAUGAAUUGAUGAGAAAUACAAUGAAGAGGCAAUGUCCAUCUCAAAAUACUGCUUUUACAAAAGCAGAAUAAAAGCGAAAAGAAAUGAAAAUGUUACACUACAUUAAUCCUGGAAUAAAAGAAGCCGAAAUAAAUGAGAGAUGAGUUGGGAUCAAGUGGAUUGAGGAGGCUGUGCUGUGUGCCAAUGUUUCGUUUGCCUCAGACAGGUAUCUCUUCGUUAUCAGAAGAGUUGCUUCAUUUCAUCUGGGAGCAGAAAACAGCAGGCAGCUGUUAACAGAUAAGUUUAACUUGCAUCUGCAGUAUUGCAUGUUAGGGAUAAGUGCUUAUUUUUAAGAGCUGUGGAGUUCUUAAAUAUCAACCAUGGCACUUUCUCCUGACCCCUUCCCUAGGGGAUUUCAGGAUUGAGAAAUUUUUCCAUCGAGCCUUUUUAAAAUUGUAGGACUUGUUCCUGUGGGCUUCAGUGAUGGGAUAGUACACUUCACUCAGAGGCAUUUGCAUCUUUAAAUAAUUUCUUAAAAGCCUCUAAAGUGAUCAGUGCCUUGAUGCCAACUAAGGAAAUUUGUUUAGCAUUGAAUCUCUGAAGGCUCUAUGAAAGGAAUAGCAUGAUGUGCUGUUAGAAUCAGAUGUUACUGCUAAAAUUUACAUGUUGUGAUGUAAAUUGUGUAGAAAACCAUUAAAUCAUUCAAAAUAAUAAACUAUUUUUAUUAGAGAAUGUAUACUUUUAGAAAGCUGUCUCCUUAUUUAAAUAAAAUAGUGUUUGUCUGUAGUUCAGUGUUGGGGCAAUCUUGGGGGGGAUUCUUCUCUAAUCUUUCAGAAACUUUGUCUGCGAACACUCUUUAAUGGACCAGAUCAGGAUUUGAGCGGAAGAACGAAUGUAACUUUAAGGCAGGAAAGACAAAUUUUAUUCUUCAUAAAGUGAUGAGCAUAUAAUAAUUCCAGGCACAUGGCAAUAGAGGCCCUCUAAAUAAGGAAUAAAUAACCUCUUAGACAGGUGGGAGAUUAUGAUCAGAGUAAAAGGUAAUUACACAUUUUAUUUCCAGAAAGUCAGGGGUCUAUAAAUUGACAGUGAUUAGAGUAAUACUUUUUCACAUUUCCAAAGUUUGCAUGUUAACUUUAAAUGCUUACAAUCUUAGAGUGGUAGGCAAUGUUUUACACUAUUGACCUUAUAUAGGGAAGGGAGGGGGUGCCUGUGGGGUUUUAAAGAAUUUUCCUUUGCAGAGGCAUUUCAUCCUUCAUGAAGCCAUUCAGGAUUUUGAAUUGCAUAUGAGUGCUUGGCUCUUCCUUCUGUUCUAACUUCACAGAGAAUGCAGUUGUCUUGACUUCAGGUCUGUCUGUUCUGUUGGCAAGUAAAUGCAGUACUGUUCUGAUCCCGCUGCUAUUAGAAUGCAUUGUGAAACGACUGGAGUAUGAUUAAAAGUUGUGUUCCCCAAUGCUUGGAGUAGUGAUUGUUGAAGGAAAAAAUCCAGCUGAGUGAUAAAGGCUGAGUGUUGAGGAAAUUUCUGCAGUUUUAAGCAGUCGUAUUUGUGAUUGAAGCUGAGUACAUUUUGCUGGUGUAUUUUUAGGAACACUCAGCAGACACACGUAUGCGAAGGGCCAGAGAAGCCAGACCCAGUAAGAAAAAAUAGCCUAUUUACUUUAAAUAAACCAAACAUUCCAUUUUAAAUGUGGGGAUUGGGAACCACUAGUUCUUUCAGAUGGUAUUCUUCAGACUAUAGAAGGAGCUUCCAGUUGAAUUCACCAGUGGACAAAAUGAGGAAAACAGGUGAACAAGCUUUUUCUGUAUUUACAUACAAAGUCAGAUCAGUUAUGGGACAAUAGUAUUGAAUAGAUUUCAGCUUUAUGCUGGAGUAACUGGCAUGUGAGCAAACUGUGUUGGCGUGGGGGUGGAGGGGUGAGGUGGGCGCUAAGCCUUUUUUUAAGAUUUUUCAGGUACCCCUCACUAAAGGCACCGAAGGCUUAAAGUAGGACAACCAUGGAGCCUUCCUGUGGCAGGAGAGACAACAAAGCGCUAUUAUCCUAAGGUCAAGAGAAGUGUCAGCCUCACCUGAUUUUUAUUAGUAAUGAGGACUUGCCUCAACUCCCUCUUUCUGGAGUGAAGCAUCCGAAGGAAUGCUUGAAGUACCCCUGGGCUUCUCUUAACAUUUAAGCAAGCUGUUUUUAUAGCAGCUCUUAAUAAUAAAGCCCAAAUCUCAAGCGGUGCUUGAAGGGGAGGGAAAGGGGGAAAGCGGGCAACCACUUUUCCCUAGCUUUUCCAGAAGCCUGUUAAAAGCAAGGUCUCCCCACAAGCAACUUCUCUGCCACAUCGCCACCCCGUGCCUUUUGAUCUAGCACAGACCCUUCACCCCUCACCUCGAUGCAGCCAGUAGCUUGGAUCCUUGUGGGCAUGAUCCAUAAUCGGUUUCAAGGUAACGAUGGUGUCGAGGUCUUUGGUGGGUUGAACUAUGUUAGAAAAGGCCAUUAAUUUGCCUGCAAAUUGUUAACAGAAGGGUAUUAAAACCACAGCUAAGUAGCUCUAUUAUAAUACUUAUCCAGUGACUAAAACCAACUUAAACCAGUAAGUGGAGAAAUAACAUGUUCAAGAACUGUAAUGCUGGGUGGGAACAUGUAACUUGUAGACUGGAGAAGAUAGGCAUUUGAGUGGCUGAGAGGGCUUUUGGGUGGGAAUGCAAAAAUUCUCUGCUAAGACUUUUUCAGGUGAACAUAACAGACUUGGCCAAGCUAGCAUCUUAGCGGAAGCUGAUCUCCAAUGCUCUUCAGUAGGGUCAUGAAGGUUUUUCUUUUCCUGAGAAAACAACACGUAUUGUUUUCUCAGGUUUUGCUUUUUGGCCUUUUUCUAGCUUAAAAAAAAAAAAAGCAAAAGAUGCUGGUGGUUGGCACUCCUGGUUUCCAGGACGGGGUUCAAAUCCCUGCGGCGUCUUUGCUUUGACUACUAAUCUGUCUUCAGGACUCUUUCUGUAUUUCUCCUUUUCUCUGCAGGUGCUAGUUCUUGGAGUUUUGGGGAGGUGGGAGGUAACAGCACAAUAUCUUUGAACUAUAUACAUCCUUGAUGUAUAAUUUGUCAGGAGCUUGACUUGAUUGUAUAUUCAUAUUUACACGAGAACCUAAUAUAACUGCCUUGUCUUUUUCAGGUAAUAGCCUGCAGCUGGUGUUUUGAGAAGCCCUACUGCUGAAAACUUAACAAUUUUGUGUAAUAAAAAUGGAGAAGCUCU
This 6933-nucleotide long non-coding RNA is filed under the name Homo sapiens (human). Lineage: Eukaryota; Metazoa; Chordata; Mammalia; Primates; Hominidae. The record is from RNAcentral.